This 440-nucleotide ribosomal RNA is filed under the name uncultured bacterium. RNAcentral's name for it is "bacterial SSU rRNA". It matches the Rfam family "Bacterial small subunit ribosomal RNA", at positions 28 to 507 of the family's 1533-position model. The record is from RNAcentral.
GAUGAACGCUGGCGGUAUGCCUAACACAUGCAAGUCGUACGAGAGUUUUUAACUCUAGUGGCGGACGGGUGAGUAACACGUGAGAAUUUGCCUUUAGGAGGGGGACAACAAUCGGAAACGAAUGCUAAUACCCCAUAUGCUUUCGAGUGAAAUGGAUUUUAUCCGCCUAGAGAGAAGCUCGCGGCUGAUUAGCUUGUUGGUAAGGUAAGAGCUUACCAAGGCGACGAUCAGUAUCUGGUUUGAGAGGACGAUCAGACACACUGGAACUGAGACACGGUCCAGACUCCUACGGGAGGCAGCAGUGGGGAAUUUCCGCAAUGGGCGAAAGCCUGACGGAGCAAUACCGCGUGAGGGAAGAAUGCCUAUGGGUUGUAAACCUCUUUUUCAGGGAGGAAGUCAAAUGACGUGUACCUGAAGAAUAAGCAUCGGCUAACUCCGUG